RNAcentral lists this ribosomal RNA (1334 nucleotides) under Staphylococcus aureus. Its description in RNAcentral is "bacterial LSU rRNA". It matches the Rfam family "Bacterial large subunit ribosomal RNA", at positions 1 to 1337 of the family's 2925-position model. The record is from RNAcentral. Lineage: Bacteria; Bacillati; Bacillota; Bacilli; Caryophanales; Staphylococcaceae.
AGAUUAAGUUAUUAAGGGCGCACGGUGGAUGCCUUGGCACUAGAAGCCGAUGAAGGACGUUACUAACGACGAUAUGCUUUGGGGAGCUGUAAGUAAGCUUUGAUCCAGAGAUUUCCGAAUGGGGAAACCCAGCAUGAGUUAUGUCAUGUUAUCGAUAUGUGAAUACAUAGCAUAUCAGAAGGCACACCCGGAGAACUGAAACAUCUUAGUACCCGGAGGAAGAGAAAGAAAAUUCGAUUCCCUUAGUAGCGGCGAGCGAAACGGGAAGAGCCCAAACCAACAAGCUUGCUUGUUGGGGUUGUAGGACACUCUAUACGGAGUUACAAAGGACGACAUUAGACGAAUCAUCUGGAAAGAUGAAUCAAAGAAGGUAAUAAUCCUGUAGUCGAAAAUGUUGUCUCUCUUGAGUGGAUCCUGAGUACGACGGAGCACGUGAAAUUCCGUCGGAAUCUGGGAGGACCAUCUCCUAAGGCUAAAUACUCUCUAGUGACCGAUAGUGAACCAGUACCGUGAGGGAAAGGUGAAAAGCACCCCGGAAGGAGAGUGAAAUAGAACCUGAAACCGUGUGCUUACAAGUAGUCAGAGCCCGUUAAUGGGUGAUGGCGUGCCUUUUGUAGAAUGAACCGGCGAGUUACGAUUUGAUGCAAGGUUAAGCAGUAAAUGUGGAGCCGUAGCGAAAGCGAGUCUGAAUAGGGCGUUUAGUAUUUGGUCGUAGACCCGAAACCAGGUGAUCUACCCUUGGUCAGGUUGAAGUUCAGGUAACACUGAAUGGAGGACCGAACCGACUUACGUUGAAAAGUGAGCGGAUGAACUGAGGGUAGCGGAGAAAUUCCAAUCGAACCUGGAGAUAGCUGGUUCUCUCCGAAAUAGCUUUAGGGCUAGCCUCAAGUGAUGAUUAUUGGAGGUAGAGCACUGUUUGGACGAGGGGCCCCUCUCGGGUUACCKAMUUCAGACAAACUCCGAAUGCCAAUUAAUUUAACUUGGGAGUCAGAACAUGGGUGAUAAGGUCCGUGUUCGMAAGGGAAACAGCCCAGACCACCAGCUWAGGUCCCAAAAUAUCUGUUAACUGGAAAAGGAUGUGGCGUUGCCCAGACAACUAGGAUGUUGGCUUAGAAGCAGCCAUCAUUUACAGAGUGCGGAAUAGCUCAUUAGUCGAGUGACACCGCGCCGAAAAUGGAACGGGGCUACACAUAUUACCGAAGCUGUGGUUUGUCCUUUGGACUAUGGCAGGAGAGCGUUCUAAGGGCGUUGAAGCAUGAUCGUAAGGACACAGGGAGCGCGUAGAAGGGAGAAUGCCGGGGUGAGUAGCGAAAGACGGGUGAGAAUCCCGUCCA